CGGAGGAUCCGAGCGUUAUCCGGAUUUAUUGGGUUUAAAGGGUGCGUAGGCGGCCUGUUAAGUCAGGGGUGAAAGACGGUAGCUCAACUAUCGCAGUGCCCUUGAUACUGAUGGGCUUGAAUGUACUAGAGGUAGGCGGAAUGUGACAAGUAGCGGUGAAAUGCAUAGAUAUGUCACAGAACACCAAUUGCGAAAGGCAGCUUACUAUGGUAUUAUUGACGCUGAGGCACGAAAGCGUGGGGGAUCAAACAGGAUUAGAUACCCUGGUAGUCCACGCCCUAAACGAUGAAUACUCGAUGUUAGCGAUAUACAGUUAGCGUCAAAGCGAAAGCGUUAAGUAUUCCACCUGGGGAGUACGCCCGCAAGGGUG
RNAcentral lists this ribosomal RNA (370 nucleotides) under uncultured organism. RNAcentral's name for it is "bacterial SSU rRNA". It matches the Rfam family "Bacterial small subunit ribosomal RNA", at positions 526 to 896 of the family's 1533-position model. The record is from RNAcentral.